AUUGAACGCUGGUGGCAGGCCUAACACAUGCAAGUCGAACGGUAACAGGAAGAAGCUUGCUUCUUUGCUGACGAGUGGCGGACGGGUGAGUAAUGUCUGGGAAACUGCCUGAUGGAGGGGGAUAACUACUGGAAACGGUAGCUAAUACCGCAUAACGUCGCAAGACCAAAGAGGGGGACCUUCGGGCCUCUUGCCAUCGGAUGUGCCCAGAUGGGAUUAGCUAGUAGGUGGGGUAACGGCUCACCUAGGCGACGAUCCCUAGCUGGUCUGAGAGGAUGACCAGCCACACUGGAACUGAGACACGGUCCAGACUCCUACGGGAGGCAGCAGUGGGGAAUAUUGCACAAUGGGCGCAAGCCUGAUGCAGCCAUGCCGCGUGUAUGAAGAAGGCCUUCGGGUUGUAAAGUACUUUCAGCGGGGAGGAAGGGAGUAAAGUUAAUACCUUUGCUCAUUGACGUUACCCGCAGAAGAAGCACCGGCUAACUCCG
This 488-nucleotide ribosomal RNA is filed under the name uncultured bacterium. RNAcentral describes it as "partial 16S ribosomal RNA". It matches the Rfam family "Bacterial small subunit ribosomal RNA", at positions 30 to 505 of the family's 1533-position model. The record is from RNAcentral.